AAAGUCCCGCAAGGGAUCGGUAGAGUGGCAAACGGGUGAGUAACACGUGGGUGACCUGCCUUCGAGUGGGGGAUAACGUCCCGAAAGGGACGCUAAUACCGCAUGACAUCCUGCCUUUGAACAGGCGGAGAUCAAAGCUGGGGAUCGCAAGACCUAGCGCUUGAAGAGGGGCCCGCGUCUGAUUAGCUAGUUGGUGAGGUAACGGCUCACCAAGGCGACGAUCAGUAUCCGGCCUGAGAGGGCGGACGGACACACUGGGACUGAGACACGGCCCAGACUCCUACGGGAGGCAGCAGUGGGGAAUUGUUCGCAAUGGGCGCAAGCCUGACGACGCAACGCCGCGUGGAGGAUGAAGAUCUUCGGGUCGUAAACUCCUUUCGAUCGAGACGAACGGCUUCCGGGCUAAUCACCGGGAGAGUGACGGUACCGAGAGAAGAAGCCCCGGCUAACUCCGUGCCAGCAGCCGCGGUAAUACGGGGGGGGCAAGCGUUGUUCGGAAUUACUGGGCGUAAAGGGCUCGUAGGUGGCCAACUAAGUCAGACGUGAAAUCCCUCGGCUUAACCGGGGAAUUGCGUCUGAUACUGGAUGGCUUGAGGUUGGGAGAGGGAUGCGGAAUUCCAGGUGUAGCGGUGAAAUGCGUAGAUAUCUGGAGGAACACCGGUGGCGAAGGCGGCAUCCUGGACCAAUUCUGACGCUGAGGAGCGAAAGCCAGGGGAGCAAACGGGAUUAGAUACCCCGGUAGUCCUGGCCCUAAACGAUGAAUGCUUGGUGUGGCGGGUAUCGAU
RNAcentral lists this ribosomal RNA (785 nucleotides) under uncultured Pseudomonadota bacterium. Its description in RNAcentral is "bacterial SSU rRNA". It matches the Rfam family "Bacterial small subunit ribosomal RNA", at positions 71 to 836 of the family's 1533-position model. Lineage: Bacteria; Pseudomonadati; Pseudomonadota. The record is from RNAcentral.